CCGGGGGAGGUGGACAGUCUGCCUAUCUGAGAGCUCCGGGGGAGGUGGACAGUCUGCCUAUCUGAGAGCCCCGGGGGAGGUGGACAGUCUGCCUAUCUGAGAGCCCCGGGGGAGGUGGACAGUCUGCCUAUCUGAGAGCCCCGGGGGAGGUGGACAGUCUGCCUAUCUAAGAACCCAGUCGAUGGACAGUCUGCCUAUCUGAGAGCCCAGUCGGGUGGACAGUCUGCCUAUCUGAGAGCCCAGUCGGGUGGACAGUCUGCCUAUCUGAGAGCCCAGUCGGGUGGACAGUCAGCCUAUCUGAGAACCCAGUCGGGUGGACAGUCUGCCUAUCUGAGAACCCAGUCGGGUGGACAGUCUGCCUAUCUGAGAGCUCCG
Molecule: long non-coding RNA, 375 nt
Organism: Oncorhynchus tshawytscha (Chinook salmon)
Lineage: Eukaryota; Metazoa; Chordata; Actinopteri; Salmoniformes; Salmonidae
Source: Ensembl